GCAGAAAUACAGUAUUGUCGCUCGGGUAGAAGUUAAAUUCUCGAUUGAACCACGUUUUCGUGACAGACAACAUUUCGUUUUAUCUGACAUCAAUGGAGCCAAGAUCGAGGCCAUAACAUAUAUGUAUGAGACAGUCAAACAUUUCGACAAUUUGCUCCAUGAAAAGCAUGUUUACAAGAUGCAUAAUGUAAAGUUCAGUCUUCAUCCGGGUGAAUUUAAUUUUCGUCAUC
This is a long non-coding RNA of Zea mays, 230 nucleotides long. RefSeq lists it as uncharacterized. The transcript has 2 exons. The record is from RefSeq and is a predicted model, not a curated record. NCBI's taxonomy places the organism in Eukaryota, Viridiplantae, Streptophyta, Magnoliopsida, Poales, Poaceae.